AUAAUGGAGAGUUUGAUCCUGGCUCAGGACGAACGCUGGCGGCGUGCCUAAUACAUGCAAGUCGAGCGGAACCAUUGGAGCUUGCUCCUUUGGUUUAGCGGCGGACGGGUGAGUAACACGUGGGCAACCUGCCCUGCAGAUCGGGAUAACUCCGGGAAACCGGUGCUAAUACCGAAUAGUUUGCGGCCUCUCAUGAGGCUGUACGG
RNAcentral lists this ribosomal RNA (206 nucleotides) under Streptococcus pneumoniae. RNAcentral describes it as "partial 16S ribosomal RNA". It matches the Rfam family "Bacterial small subunit ribosomal RNA", at positions 1 to 203 of the family's 1533-position model. Lineage: Bacteria; Bacillati; Bacillota; Bacilli; Lactobacillales; Streptococcaceae. The record is from RNAcentral.